Molecule: ribosomal RNA, 502 nt
Filed under: uncultured Lactobacillus sp.
Lineage: Bacteria; Bacillati; Bacillota; Bacilli; Lactobacillales; Lactobacillaceae
Description: partial 16S ribosomal RNA
Source: RNAcentral
CACGUAGUUAGCCGUGACUUUCUGGUUGAUUACCGUCAAAUAAAAGCCAGUUACUACCUCUAUCCUUCUUCACCAACAACAGAGCUUUACGAUCCGAAAACCUUCUUCACUCACGCGGCGUUGCUCCAUCAGACUUGCGUCCAUUGUGGAAGAUUCCCUACUGCUGCCUCCCGUAGGAGUUUGGGCCGUGUCUCAGUCCCAAUGUGGCCGAUCAGUCUCUCAACUCGGCUAUGCAUCAUCGCCUUGGUAAGCCUUUACCUUACCAACUAGCUAAUGCACCGCGGGGCCAUCCCAUAGCGACAGCUUACGCCGCCUUUUAAAAGCUGAUCAUGCGAUCUGCUUUCUUAUCCGGUAUUAGCACCUGUUUCCAAGUGGUAUCCCAGACUAUGGGGCAGGUUCCCCACGUGUUACUCACCCAUCCGCCGCUCGCUUUCCUAACGUCAUUACCGAAGUAAAUCUGUUAGUUCCGCUCGCUCGACUUGCAUGUAUUAGGCACGCCGCC